Molecule: non-coding RNA, 81 nt
Organism: Myotis lucifugus (little brown bat)
Lineage: Eukaryota; Metazoa; Chordata; Mammalia; Chiroptera; Vespertilionidae
Source: Rfam
GGGUAGCUGAGGGGAUGGUAGACCGGUGACGUGCACUUUAUUUACGAUGUAGGUCACCGGUUUGACUAUCCGUCGGUACCC